AGUGAACGCUGGCGGUAGGCCUAACACAUGCAAGUCGAACGGCAGCACAGUAAGAGCUUGCUCUUACGGGUGGCGAGUGGCGGACGGGUGAGGAAUACAUCGGAAUCUACUUUUUCGUGGGGGAUAACGUAGGGAAACUUACGCUAAUACCGCAUACGACCUACGGGUGAAAGCAGGGGAUCUUCGGACCUUGCGCGAUUGAAUGAGCCGAUGUCGGAUUAGCUAGUUGGCGGGGUAAAGGCCCACCAAGGCGACGAUCCGUAGCUGGUCUGAGAGGAUGACCAGCCACACUGGAACUGAGACACGGUCCAGACUCCUACGGGAGGCAGCAGUGGGGAAUAUUGGACAAUGGGCGCAAGCCUGAUCCAGCCAUGCCGCGUGGGUGAAGAAGGCCUUCGGGUUGUAAAGCCCUUUUGUUGGGAAAGAAAAGCAUCAAGUUAAUACCCCGCCGUUUUGACGGUACCCAAAGAAUAAGCACCGGCUAACUUCGUG
This 492-nucleotide ribosomal RNA is filed under the name uncultured bacterium. RNAcentral's name for it is "partial 16S ribosomal RNA". It matches the Rfam family "Bacterial small subunit ribosomal RNA", at positions 29 to 507 of the family's 1533-position model. The record is from RNAcentral.